Molecule: non-coding RNA, 5211 nt
Organism: Vicugna pacos (alpaca)
Lineage: Eukaryota; Metazoa; Chordata; Mammalia; Artiodactyla; Camelidae
Source: RefSeq, a predicted model, not a curated record
CCACCCCCGCCUCCUUCCAGGGCACUGGCGUGGGUCCUUCGCCGUCCGGCGGCGACUGUAAAUAGAGCCUGGAUGUUGUUUACAUGAAGGAUCCGGCGGGAGGAGUCUGCGAGGAGGUGGCGGCGGCGGCGGCGGAGGAGGAGGAGGAGGGAGGGCGGAGAGAGGAAGACCGGAGUCCCCGCGGCGGCGGCGGCGGUCCGGGGUGAGGGUGAGCCCCGCGCGGCGCGGGGACCGGGCGCUACCACGAGGCCGGGAAGCCGGACCCUGGGGAAUGGAAGCUGAGAAUGUUGGACUCUGCAGAAAAGAGGAGUGGGAUUGUGUUUCUGGAACAGCUCAAGGCUCUAAAAGUGGAGGCAUUCCAAAGGUUGUUAACCAUCCUUACCGUAACUGUAGGACUGACAUUGACUAUAGUGGAAAAACACCCCACAGGUGUGCUAUAAAUACGUAAUCAUCAUCAGUGUCAUCAAUUUGAAUACAUUCUUGGCACUCAGAGCAAGAACAGUAAGUCAUUUUUUUUGCUCAGGUGUAUUCUUAAAUUGUAGAAACCCCAUACAUGUUUGCUUCAUGAUCUGAGAUACUGAGAAAACUAAAAAUUUUAAGCAAAAAGUAGAUGUUUUCAGGAAUCUUUUUGUUUGCAUAAAUUGUAUAGACUGAAUAUCCAGUUGAUGGGGUUGAAUGGCUAGGUCAGGGGAGAGAAAAAAGCCCUAGGUUCAAUUGUUAGACACGGAUUUGAACCCAGGUUCGGUGUAACUUAGUGAUAUGACCAGAUGAAUCACCUAUCCUCUCUUAGGUUUUUAUUUUCUUUCUGUCAAAUGGGCUCAUGCCUAAUUCUGGAAUCCUUUUGUGAUGAAUUAAUGAGUAAUUUAUUGACAACCCCCUAGGUUCUUGUGAAAACCAAAGGAAAACGCACAUAGAAGAUUACUGAAUGUUAAGUAGACGUGAAGUAUUACUGCCCUGUUUUAUUAUGAGCACUUUGAGAGCAGGGACUAUGUCUUAUCUUCAUUUCCUGAACAUCCAGAAGAGGUCUUGGAACAUUGAUAAAUACUUGCUGCAUGAAUGGCUGAGGUCAGGGAGAGGGAGUCAGCGAAUCCAGGCAGGGGAGAGAUGACACUGUGAAACAGAGCUGGGAGGCGUAGUUGAUGUAUUAGUGGUUGCUUAUCAUUAACAUGUAUACAUCGUGUGUUCACCUUGCGUCUUAUAUAAUUCAACUGGGUCUUUUACUGUUUCAGCCUCACCACUUGCUGGGCUGUGACCCUACUUUUCCUUCUGCUUCCCCACAUCCUGAACCAGAAGGGGACCUUUUAGUCCUUCACUUCGUGGGGCACCUUCAGAGGGAGUCACACAGCCACCCGGGAAGGAUGCUGCCGGCCGACAUGGUGACUGACAGGCUGCCCUGGCUCAGUUAUCACAGUGCUGAUGCUGUCCAUUCUAAAGGUACAGUACUGUGAUAACUGAAGGAUGGCAGCCAUCUUGCCUUCCACGGAGGAGCCCCGCCGUGCCGGGAAGGAGGACGCGAGGCCCAGGCGGGAGAAGCGGUGGCGGGAGCCCUCUUGCCCUGUGCCUGUAUUCUGCCUCUCCCUGAGCGCAGGGGACGUUGUUCCACCUGUCUUUGUCUUCUGUGAUAGGAGGGUGAAGAGGAGUUGGGUAGAUGUUGGCUCUGUUGGGCUGAGCGGAAGUAUCAUUAAGAUCUUCGGAAUUUUCAGGUGGCUGAUACUAGAUAAGUGCUAAGUGUGGAUUAGUAUUUCUGGAGUGGUAUUCCGAGAAAGUUGGGCCACUUAGAAAUGUAAAAAGCAACCCGAUUAAAAUAGCUUGAUGCUUGUGAAUUUAGAUGUUCAAAAUGAAAUUCAGCUUAAGCAGGGAGAAAAAAGCCCUACGUGUUGAACGGUAUUCAUGUAAUUGCAUGAACAGAAUUACAUCUUUGUGUUUAAGGAAUGGAUGGGGACAUGGCAUGUUUCUUUCAGUAACAAAAAAUAUUUAGAAACUAGUCUAACUCAAAAAAUAUUUGAUGAAUGCCCAUGUUAUUGCUGCUGUCACCUUUACAUGAAAGUAAAAUGUGUGUAAAUAAUUUUCCUGUGGUCAAAUAAUUAAGGGGGUGGGUAUAGCUCUGGUAGAGUGCCUGCUUAGCAUGUGUGAGAUCCUGGGUUCAAUUCCCAGUACUUCCAUUUAAAAAAAAAAUUAAGGACUGUUUUGUGAUGACAUCUAGAACAAAUCCAUUUCAGGGAUAUGAAGCUAUAAAUACCAACCCACCAUCAGGUGUGCGUAAAAGACUAGGAAAAUUAGCAGAGUGAGCAUCUUCAGCCUGUACUGUGCAGGGUGCGUUUGGGCUUAGAGGUGGGAUUAUUAGAGUACCCAGGGUUUCCCACAGCCUUCCUCCCUGAAGACUCCCAAGGAAGCUGUACACGUGGACCAGCAGCAGACAAGACGCAGGGUACACGACUUUAUUAUGUGUUAGAUCAUAGUCCAUUGCAAGGCUUGGAUCAUUUCAUGUAGUUCAGGCUCUAUACCUUAAACAGACCUCUUGACUUCUCCCCAGGCUCACAUGUGUACCUGGGAACCUUCCCGCCCUGUGGGUAGCCGACUAGUGUAGGAACCCAAAGCAGUGGGCAAGGAGAGAACAGGGCCUGCUGAGGUCAGGACCUGCCUACACAGGGCAGGGAGAGCCCGGGAAGGAGAACAAUGUGUGUGACCCUUUAAUGUACAGAGACAUUACCCACUAAUCAGCGCAGCCCAGUUAAUGUCUUCAGCCAGUUUUAUUGUCAGGUUUGUCACGGGGAAAGAAUACAGAAGAAGAAAGGGAACUGGGAGCCAGGAGGGAAGCGAAGCGUUGCCUCCCGUCCAGAGAGGUUCGGUCUGCCCCUCGCCGUGCCAUCGUCAGACGUUGCAGGUCAUCGUGCUCCUCCGCUGGUUCGCACAGUUCUCUGACCUCUCUGCCCCGUUCUCCACCCGGAGGGGGCCCUUUCCUGGAGGAACCCCUUGAGCCACACCUGCUUGGCCCUGAGUUGCUUUCCUCGUAGCAUUGAUCCCAUUACAGCCCAGGGCCUUCACGUGUCCUCAUCCACUCAGGGCUUCUCUGAACUGCAGGCUCGACUGUGGUUUUGAUUAGUUAUGGGGAGGGCUGGCUCUGCCCAGUUGUGAAUUUUACUCCCAGUCCUGAAAGUCCUUGGAGUUUCCUGCUCCCAUAAACAGAAAAGGAAUUUCUGACGGAAACCCUGGAAGAACUUCUGAGAAAGGAAAGUUUGGGGAUUGGUGAGUUCUCAAGUAACUUGAAACACUCCUAAUUUUUAGUGUUAUAGCAGGUGGAAAAAACUGCUUCAGGGAGUGAUGUGUUGUGCAGUCGUUGGCCUUGGUGAGGAUUUCUCCACCUUCCCUGGUCUUCCUGUUUUCCCAUUACUAGUUUUAUUUUAUCAGGUUUUAUACUUACCGGACCUUGACCCCCCAGUUCCACAGCCAAGCCUGUGGGCUGCUGCAGAGCGGAGUGUUAGGUGUAGUUUGGAGUCACUCCUGCAUUUCUGCAGAAAGAGCCAUACUGGGUCCCAUUUUCUAUCAACAGGAAAGCCUGGGGCUCAGUCUGUGGCAGGAGCACUGGAAGGCUUGCCUGGGCCUGGAGAUCCCUGGCACUUUGGGACAGUUCAUAGAGUUAAGGUGUUCCAACAGGUUAAGUGAGAGGUGAUUCAAGAGAAACCUGAUGGGGUUUUUCCACCUUUGUUUAAAACAUACAUGCAUACAGUAUGCUUUUGGUUGGUGUAGUCACUGUAUUCUUCGGUUUAGAGAUGUAAGAAAGGGAAGAUGAAUUAAACAUAGAAAUACCCUAUGAUCCAGCAUUUCCACUUCCGGUCACAUACCCAGGUGAAUGGUCUCAGAUACUUGUGCACCAGUGUUCACAGCAGCAUCAUUCAAAAGAGCCAGAAGGUAAAAGCAGCCCAAAUGCCCAUCGAUGGUUGUAUGGCUAGAUGAAGUGUGUAUGCCUACAACGGAAUAUUAUUCAGGAAGAAAAUUCUGACACCUGCUACAACAUGGAUGGACUUGGACGAUAGCUAAGUGAAAUGAGCCAGACUCUAAAGGACAAAUAGUGUAUGAGUCAUAGAAGAUUCCUAGAGUAGUCAAAUUCAUAGAGUCAGAAAGAGGAAGGGUGGUUGCCCGGGGCUGGAGGAAAGGGAAAUGGGAAGUUUGUGUUUAAUGGGGAAGAUGAAAAAAUUCUGGAGUUGGAUGGUGUUGGUUAUACAAUGUGAAAGUACUUGCUGCCACAGUACUGUACACUUAAAAAUGGCUAAAGUGGUAAAUUUUAUGUCAUUUUACCACCCCACAAAAGAAAGCAUUUCAGGGUAAUAGCAUUGUUGCAGCCAGCAACAGAAUUGAGUUUAUUGCUCUCUUCUUCAGACGGUCUUCAGUGUGAAGAUAAUCACUGUUUCAAAUAAGUAAUUAAAAAGUAAUUCCCAUGUCUUUAUGUGUUUAAAGUUCUGUAAUAUGUAGAAUGUUAAACAUUUUUCCAGGGUUUCUGACAUAGCGUAGCUUUAAAGUUUUGUAAACUAUGAGAAGUAUAUUAACAGUACUAACUCAACAAGAAGGCAGGUGAUGGAGCAUCUCUUUCUGGCUUUGUGCCUUUUCUGGUGAAGCUGAGUGACUUACGGAACCUUCCCAUGCUCCAGAUGCCUCAGUUGCCUACUCUCUGGAAUCGUGGUAAAGAUGGAAUUUUACUUUUACAUAUAUAUAGUUUGUAUCAUAGGAAUUACACACACACAUACACACACGUAUAUGUGUGUGUGUAUGACCAUUUUGAUGUCUAAAGCAGCAUUCAAGUGUGGCGUAUUAUUUCUUAUUCUCAAAAAUGUAGAAAUACAAUGUCUGAAAAGAAUAGCAUUAGUAGUUUUAAAAAGCAUCCUAAUUAGACUUGUAACUCAAAGUAUCAUGGGCCUUAUUAUAAAGAGCAUUCCCUAGCUUGCUCUCAAUCACGAACGGUUUGUGUUUGUUAUUACAUGCUGAAGUUUGAAAAUGAGGAAAGUAAAAGCAUAGAGACUAGAAAAAGAUAGCAAUAAACCUUCUGUAAAGGACUGCAUGUUUCACUAGCCAUGAGUAAAAAGUGUUCAUUUGUGGACCCUGGCUACUUCAUCACAAAGCUCUCACUUGGUGGUGUGCUCUGGAAAUCAGAUUUCAGUUGUAGGAACUGCCCGCCCGCCCCCCCCCCCCCGAUCCCGUGCAGUAGUCUGCCUUGAU